GAUGAACGCUGGCGGCGUGCCUAAUACAUGCAAGUCGAGCGAACAGACGAGGAGCUUGCUCCUCUGACGUUAGCGGCGGACGGGUGAGUAACACGUGGAUAACCUACCUAUAAGACUGGGAUAACUUCGGGAAACCGGAGCUAAUACCGGAUAAUAUAUUGAACCGCAUGGUUCAAUAGUGAAAGACGGUUUUGCUGUCACUUAUAGAUGGAUCCGCGCCGCAUUAGCUAGUUGGUAAGGUAGCGGCUUACCAAGGCGACGAUGCGUAGCCGACCUGAGAGGGUGAUCGGCCACACUGGAACUGAGACACGGUCCAGACUCCUACGGGAGGCAGCAGUAGGGAAUCUUCCGCAAUGGGCGAAAGCCUGACGGAGCAACGCCGCGUGAGUGAUGAAGGUCUUCGGAUCGUAAAACUCUGUUAUUAGGGAAGAACAAAUGUGUAAGUAACUAUGCACGUCUUGACGGGACCUAAUCAGAAAGCCACGGCUAACUACGU
Molecule: ribosomal RNA, 496 nt
Filed under: uncultured bacterium
Lineage: Bacteria
Description: partial 16S ribosomal RNA
Rfam family: Bacterial small subunit ribosomal RNA
Source: RNAcentral